This 851-nucleotide ribosomal RNA is filed under the name uncultured Janthinobacterium sp. RNAcentral's name for it is "bacterial SSU rRNA". It matches the Rfam family "Bacterial small subunit ribosomal RNA", at positions 58 to 907 of the family's 1533-position model. Lineage: Bacteria; Pseudomonadati; Pseudomonadota; Betaproteobacteria; Burkholderiales; Oxalobacteraceae. The record is from RNAcentral.
CAAGUCGAACGGCAGCGCGGGGCAACCUGGCGGCGAGUGGCGAACGGGUGAGUAAUAUAUCGGAACGUACCCUGGAGUGGGGGAUAACGUAGCGAAAGUUACGCUAAUACCGCAUACGAUCUAAGGAUGAAAGUGGGGGAUCGCAAGACCUCAUGCUCCUGGAGCGGCCGAUAUCUGAUUAGCUAGUUGGUGGGGUAAAGGCCUACCAAGGCAUCGAUCAGUAGCUGGUCUGAGAGGACGACCAGCCACACUGGAACUGAGACACGGUCCAGACUCCUACGGGAGGCAGCAGUGGGGAAUUUUGGACAAUGGGCGAAAGCCUGAUCCAGCAAUGCCGCGUGAGUGAAGAAGGCCUUCGGGUUGUAAAGCUCUUUUGUCAGGGAAGAAACGGUGGGGGCUAAUAUCCCUUGCUAAUGACGGUACCUGAAGAAUAAGCACCGGCUAACUACGUGCCAGCAGCCGCGGUAAUACGUAGGGUGCAAGCGUUAAUCGGAAUUACUGGGCGUAAAGCGUGCGCAGGCGGUUUUGUAAGUCUGUCGUGGAAUCCCCGGGCUCAACCUGGGAAUUGCGAUGGAGACUGCAAGGCUAGAAUCUGGCAGAGGGGGGUAGAAUUCCACGUGUAGCAGUGAAAUGCGUAGAGAUGUGGAGGAACACCGAUGGCGAAGGCAGCCCCCUGGGUCAAGAUUGACGCUCAUGCACGAAAGCGUGGGGAGCAAACAGGAUUAGAUACCCUGGUAGUCCACGCCCUAAACGAUGUCUACUAGUUGUCGGGUUUUAAUUAACUUGGUAACGCAGCUAACGCGUGAAGUAGACCGCCUGGGGAGUACGGUCGCAAGAUUAAAACUCAAAGG